UACGUAGGCAGCGAGCGUUGUUCGGAUUUACUGGGCGUAAAGGGAGCGUAGGCGGUUCGGCAAGUCUUUAGUGAAAUCUCUGGGCUCAACUCAGAGUCUGCUGGAGAAACUGCCGGACUGGAGUAUGGGAGAGGUGAGUGGAAUUCCCGGUGUAGCGGUGAAAUGCGCAGAUAUCAGGAAGAACACCAAUGGCGAAGGCAGCUCUCUGGGACGGUACUGACGCUGAGACGCGAAAGCGUGGGGAGCGAACAGG
Molecule: ribosomal RNA, 253 nt
Filed under: uncultured bacterium
Lineage: Bacteria
Description: partial 16S ribosomal RNA
Rfam family: Bacterial small subunit ribosomal RNA
Source: RNAcentral